GAUGAACGCUAGCGGCAGGCUUAACACAUGCAAGUCGAGGGGUAUAGUUCUUCGGAACUAGAGACCGGCGCACGGGUGCGUAACGCGUAUGCAAUCUACCUUUUACAGAGGGAUAGCCCAGAGAAAUUUGGAUUAAUACCUCAUAGUAUGUGAGAAUCGCAUGGUUUUCACAUUAAAGUUCCAACGGUAAAAGAUGAGCAUGCGUCCCAUUAGCUAGAUGGUAAGGUAACGGCUUACCAUGGCGACGAUGGGUAGGGGUCCUGAGAGGGAGAUCCCCCACACUGGUACUGAGACACGGACCAGACUCCUACGGGAGGCAGCAGUGAGGAAUAUUGGACAAUGGGCGCAAGCCUGAUCCAGCCAUGCCGCGUGCAGGAUGACGGUCCUAUGGAUUGUAAACUGCUUUUGUACAGGAAGAAACACUCCCUCGUGAGGGAGCUUGACGGUACUGUAAGAAUAAGGAUCGGCUAACUCCGUGCCAGCAGCCG
RNAcentral lists this ribosomal RNA (488 nucleotides) under uncultured bacterium. RNAcentral's name for it is "bacterial SSU rRNA". It matches the Rfam family "Bacterial small subunit ribosomal RNA", at positions 28 to 517 of the family's 1533-position model. The record is from RNAcentral.